Molecule: ribosomal RNA, 694 nt
Filed under: Bacillus sp. ITD-01
Lineage: Bacteria; Bacillati; Bacillota; Bacilli; Caryophanales; Bacillaceae
Description: bacterial SSU rRNA
Rfam family: Bacterial small subunit ribosomal RNA
Source: RNAcentral
UUAGCGGCGGACGGGUGAGUAACACGUGGGUAACCUGCCCAUAAGACUGGGAUAACUCCGGGAAACCGGGGCUAAUACCGGAUAACAUUUUGAACUGCAUGGUUCGAAAUUGAAAGGCGGCUUCGGCUGUCACUUAUGGAUGGACCCGCGUCGCAUUAGCUAGUUGGUGAGGUAACGGCUCACCAAGGCAACGAUGCGUAGCCGACCUGAGAGGGUGAUCGGCCACACUGGGACUGAGACACGGCCCAGACUCCUACGGGAGGCAGCAGUAGGGAAUCUUCCGCAAUGGACGAAAGUCUGACGGAGCAACGCCGCGUGAGUGAUGAAGGCUUUCGGGUCGUAAAACUCUGUUGUUAGGGAAGAACAAGUGCUAGUUGAAUAAGCUGGCACCUUGACGGUACCUAACCAGAAAGCCACGGCUAACUACGUGCCAGCAGCCGCGGUAAUACGUAGGUGGCAAGCGUUAUCCGGAAUUAUUGGGCGUAAAGCGCGCGCAGGUGGUUUCUUAAGUCUGAUGUGAAAGCCCACGGCUCAACCGUGGAGGGUCAUUGGAAACUGGGAGACUUGAGUGCAGAAGAGGAAAGUGGAAUUCCAUGUGUAGCGGUGAAAUGCGUAGAGAUAUGGAGGAACACCAGUGGCGAAGGCGACUUUCUGGUCUGUAACUGACACUGAGGCGCGAAAGCGUGGGGAGCAA